Molecule: long non-coding RNA, 1777 nt
Organism: Scylla paramamosain (green mud crab)
Lineage: Eukaryota; Metazoa; Arthropoda; Malacostraca; Decapoda; Portunidae
Exons: 4
Source: RefSeq, a predicted model, not a curated record
CGCCAGCCGACGGUAGACAUGAGUUGUCGAGUCCAGCCGUUUCCUCCUCGUUCUGGAAAAUUUCGUUGGAAAACCUCUCGUAUUUCGCUGUGGAGUUACGCACUAUCAACCUGACAAAAAAUGGUGGUGUUGUCUGACAGCAAAGGGUAAAACAAGGAGUGUGGAGAUGACUGUGUGCACCUGUCCUGAUCCAUCAUCUGGGAAUGAAGAAACGAAGAAAGCAACUAGUAGAGAUGUGCCUGCUGAUUCUGCAGUGAAGAAAUGAACUGUCAACAGAAGACAGAGGAGAGUAACACACAUCAUCUUGGUGCCCAGUCACAGGCUUGCUUCUUGUUCAACAAGACUGACAGUCAUCUUGAAGUGACUGCCAUGAAAAGCAAAUGAUGGAGUCAAGAGUGAAAAGUAAAGAGAUUUGAAGUAAGUCACAGAAGUCCAUCAACAAACUGUAUCAGAUGGCUUAUAUCUGGUACAUAGAACAGAAUGGACAGUAGCCUUUUAGCAAGAAUGUAAAGUGGAAGGAGUUCAUGGAGUGAAGGUGCCAUUUAGCAAUGCAAGGGGUUUCCCUUGACAUGAGUGUACUAUUGGAGCUUCUGUUCAUGUGUGAGGAAUAUGAUGAAUGUGAUAAUAAAACUUGGGCUGUUGAAGAAAACUAUAUAAAUAGGUGAGAGCUUUCUGAAAAGUGCAUGCUGAAGUGAACACAACAUUGGUACUGUGAGAGAUGAGGUAAACAAAUGAUGAGUUGUGAAGUGGACUUGGUGCAGGAUAAAUAAAUAAAUGGCAUCACAAAUCCAGCAUCUACAAUAUAAGAACAUAAGAAAUAAGGGAAGCUGCAAGAAACGACCAGGCAUAUUACACACACAUAUUAUAUUUAAUAUAAUAGAUUACAUAGUGUAAAUUGCCACAAACAGCUCUGUUAGGACCAGUAGGUUUGUGUGUGUGUGUGUAUGUGUGUGUGUGUGUGUGUGUGUGUGUGUGUGUGUGUGUGUGUGUGUGUGUGUGUGUGUGUGUGUGUGUGUGUGUGUGUGUGCGUGUGUGAGAUUCACCUACAGUCGUCUGCUGGUCACCCAGCCAGCUGUUAUCCUACAGAAAGAGCUCAGAGCUCAUAGUGACCAAUCUUUGGCUAGGACUGAGACCACUUACACACACACCGGGACAGCAAGGUCAAACCCAUCGGGUUACAUCCCGUACCUGCUUGCUGCUAGGUAAACAGGGGCUACACAUUAAGAGGCUCCUCCAUUUGCCUCGCCACACCCAGGAUUUGAACCUGGGCCAUGUUGGUUGUGAGCCGAGCAUGCUAACCACUGCUCUAUGCGAUGUGUGUAUGUGUGUGAAUAAGAGAGAGAGAGAGAGAGACGGGGGGGGGGUUAGACCUCUCCUACUAUCUCACUUGCCAGUCACAGAAAGGUGUGGAUGGGGCUUAUUUGGUGGGUGUCACCAGCUUAGGUGACAACAGGUAUACCUCACAUAUUCCAUAUUUUUCAUAUCCUAAAUCAACAAUUUAUAUAUCUGAGGAGAGCAGGGUAAGUUGUGCCAGCCCUGCUACAGACUCCAGUUUCACUUCCUCUAAAGUGGUGCUACCUGUUGUUGAAAAUCAAGAUUAAUUGUUAUUUGUGUAGUUGGCUUUAGAAUUUUCUCAAGUACAAAAUUUCUUGGCACAAUUUUUUUUUUUUUUUUUUUUUGCCUUAUUAUUAGACCUCGAGCAAAUAGGUUUAUGGAUACAUUGUAUACAUACAGUAAAUGUAGCAUUUGAUAGUGUGCAUUGUUGUUUUUUAUCAUG